RNAcentral lists this ribosomal RNA (1243 nucleotides) under metagenome. RNAcentral describes it as "bacterial LSU rRNA". It matches the Rfam family "Bacterial large subunit ribosomal RNA", at positions 1564 to 2817 of the family's 2925-position model. The record is from RNAcentral.
UGAAUACGAGAUGCUACGGCGUCGAAGCAGUCUAUGUCAUACUUCCAAGAAAAGCUUGCACUGUCAUAAACAAAUAAUGCCUGUACCAUAACCGACACAGGUGGGUAGGUAGAGUAUACUAAGGGGCGCGAGAUAACUCUCUCUAAGGAACUCGGCAAAAUGACUCCGUAACUUCGGGAGAAGGAGUGCCUUAUUUAUAAGGUUGCAAUAACAAGAUCCAAGCAACUGUUUACCAAAAACACAGGUCUCCGCUAAGUCGUAAGACGAUGUAUGGGGGCUGACGCCUGCCCAGUGCCAGAAGGUUAAAGAAGUUGGUUAGCAUCCGCGAAGCUGAUAACUGAAGCCCUGGUGAACGGCGGCCGUAACAAUAACGGUCCUAAGGUAGCGAAAUUCCUUGUCGGGUAAGUUCCGACCCGCACGAAAGGCGUAAUGAUUUGGAUACUGUCUCGGAGAGGGGCUCGGUGAAAUAGACUUGUCUGUGAAGAUGCGGACUACCUGCACCAGGACAGAAAGACCCUAUGAAGCUUUACUGUAACCUGAAAUUGAAAUUGGACUUUACUUGCGCAGUAUAGGUGGGAGGCGUUGAGAAUAUUCUUGCGGGAUUAUUGGAGCCAUCAGUGAGAUACCACUCUUGUAAUGUUAGAUUUCUAACUUUGUAUCAUUAUCUGGUCAAAGAACAGUUUCAGGCGGGCAGUUUGACUGGGGCGGUCGCCUCCUAAACGAUAACGGAGGCGCACAAAGGUUUCCUCUGAACGGGUAGAAAUCGUAUCUAGAGUGUAAAGGCAUAAGGAAGCUUGACUGUGAGACCUACAAGUCGAGCAGGGACGAAAGUCGGUCUUAGUGAUCUGACGGUGCUGAGUGGAAAGGCCGUCACUCAACGGAUAAAAGUUACUCUAGGAUAACAGGCUGAUCUCCCCCAAGAGUUCACAUCGACGGGGAGGUUUGGCACCUCGAUGUCGGCUCAUCGCAUCCUGGGGCGGUAGUACGUCCCAAGGGUUGGGCUGUUCGCCCAUGAAAGCGGUACGCGAGCUGGGUUCAGAACGUCGUGAGACAGUUCGGUCCAUAUCCGGUGUAGGCGUUAGAAUAUUGAGAGGAGCCUUCUUUAGUACGAGAGGACCGAGAAGGACAUACCUCUGGUGUACCAGUUAUCGUGCCAACGGUAAACGCUGGGUAGCUAUGUGUGGAGUGGAUAACCGCUGAAAGCAUCUAAGUGGGAAGCCCACCUCAAGAUAAGUAUUCUCAU